Molecule: unclassified non-coding RNA, 155 nt
Filed under: soil metagenome
Description: partial internal transcribed spacer 1
Source: RNAcentral
GUGAUUAAAUCGAGCGUGUCUUCAUUGACCGCUCACACCUUCUCACCAUCCACAUACACCUGUGCACUGUUUAGCCUGAGCCGGUUUUCCGGUCCAGGUUAUCAUUUCAUUACAGAACUCUAGUCUAUGAAUGUAACGUUUUAAUAACAUAAUAA